Physeter macrocephalus (sperm whale) is the source of this 403-nucleotide long non-coding RNA. RefSeq lists it as uncharacterized. Lineage: Eukaryota; Metazoa; Chordata; Mammalia; Artiodactyla; Physeteridae. The transcript is spliced from 3 exons. The record is from RefSeq and is a predicted model, not a curated record.
UCCCCUGGCUUGCGCCCCCAGAGACGAGGAGCUAAUCCCGGAGAGAGAGGUGUCCCCUUUGGAGCUGAAAUGGGGUCCCGACGGCAGAGCAGGAACGCCAGGAGAGGCUGGAAGGGGUGACAUCGACGGCAGGACAGAUGUGGUUCACAUGCAUGACACACUCCCCUGGGCAAACACAGAUGAGCAGCUGCAGCAUCCACUAAAUAGACUGAGUUGCAGGCAUUUCCAGGCUUCUUGGCUACAAUGGCAUCUUUCUCCUCCAUCUAUGAAUGCAUCUGAGAAACCAAAAAGAUGGUGGCUGCCUACAAGCCCAGAGAAGAGGCCUCAGAAUGAAACCUACCUUGCCAGCACCUUGAUCUUAGGCUUUCCAGCAUCCAGACUGUAAGAAAAUAAACUCCUGUUG